UACAGAGGUCUCAAGCGUUGUUCGGAUUCAUUGGGCGUAAAGGGUGUGUAGGUGGCGCCGUAAGUCGGGUGUGAAAUUUCGGAGCUUAACUCCGAAACUGCAUUCGAUACUGCGGUGCUUGAGGACUGGAGAGGAGACUGGAAUUCAUGGUGUAGCAGUGAAAUGCGUAGAGAUCAUGAGGAAGACCAGUGGCGAAGGCGGGUCUCUGGACAGUCACUGACACUGAGACACGAAGGCCAGGGGAGCAAACGGG
This 253-nucleotide ribosomal RNA is filed under the name uncultured bacterium. RNAcentral describes it as "partial 16S ribosomal RNA". It matches the Rfam family "Bacterial small subunit ribosomal RNA", at positions 524 to 776 of the family's 1533-position model. The record is from RNAcentral.